GCGGCCGCUGAGCGCAUCGGAGGGCGGGCGCGCCGAGGCACCGGGUGGGAGCGGAGCGUCUUCACUUCUGCGGGGACCUCGUUUGCCCCCACCUGAUGCAACCCAGAAAAUGGACUGCGAGUGUCUUGGGGCGGAGAAUGUGUCUUGCUACGUGUAAAGCACCUAGAACCCUGCCAGAUUCAGGGGACACAGCAUCCUGCCGUUUUCCUGCCGUCCCCCGCCCGCCACACAGUAGGCGCUCCAGUGGCUCUGGGCAUCUACCAGGCAGGCCGCGCUGUCCUGCCCUGCCGGGGCUGGAGUAGAGCAACCUUCCGGGGCCACCCACAUCUGGGUACCUUUUCCCCACUUUUUCCACCCCAGCCGCGCACAGUCACCAGAAAACUCUUUUAGGUAUCUGACCUUCAUUUGAACCUAUGUUCCCUCACUUGAACUUCUUUUUCCUCAUUCAUGAGAUUCUAAAGGAAAUAUAUGGGAUUGGGAC
RNAcentral lists this non-coding RNA (481 nucleotides) under Pan troglodytes (chimpanzee). The record is from RNAcentral. Lineage: Eukaryota; Metazoa; Chordata; Mammalia; Primates; Hominidae.